GUAAUCCAGGUCAGUUUCUAUCUAUGAUGCGCCCCCUCCUAGUACGAAAGGACCGGAGCGGGAAGGCCAAUGCUUCCAGCAUGCCUUACUCUCACUUGGUGAAACCAACUAAAGCAAACAAGAGAGCACACCCCUCAUCCCAAGAUAACGGCAU
This 154-nucleotide ribosomal RNA is filed under the name Aphanius dispar dispar. RNAcentral's name for it is "partial 16S ribosomal RNA". The record is from RNAcentral. Lineage: Eukaryota; Metazoa; Chordata; Actinopteri; Cyprinodontiformes; Aphaniidae.